RNAcentral lists this small nucleolar RNA (98 nucleotides) under Acidomyces richmondensis BFW. RNAcentral describes it as "A. fumigatus snoRNA Afu_190". It matches the Rfam family "A. fumigatus snoRNA Afu_190". Lineage: Eukaryota; Fungi; Ascomycota; Dothideomycetes; Mycosphaerellales; Teratosphaeriaceae. The record is from Rfam by way of RNAcentral.
GAAUGAUGAAAGUUCCAGCUGGCACCAGUCUGAGAAAGACUUGUACUCUUUUUGCUGCGGAUAAGCUGCGAGGCAAUUAUUAGCUUCACAACACUGAU